CAGCCGCCGCGGUAAUACGGAGGGUGCAAGCGUUAAUCGGAAUUACUGGGCGUAAAGCGCACGCAGGCGGUCUGUCAAGUCAGAUGUGAAAUCCCCGGGCUUAACCUGGGAACUGCAUUUGAAACUGGCAGGCUAGAGUCUUGUAGAGGGGGGUAGAAUUCCAGGUGUAGCGGUGAAAUGCGUAGAGAUCUGGAGGAAUACCGGUGGCGAAGGCGGCCCCCUGGACAAAGACUGACGCUCAGGUGCGAAAGCGUGGGGAGCAAACAGGAUUAGAUACCCGGGUAGUCCCUGUCUCUUAUAA
This 301-nucleotide ribosomal RNA is filed under the name uncultured bacterium. RNAcentral's name for it is "partial 16S ribosomal RNA". It matches the Rfam family "Bacterial small subunit ribosomal RNA", at positions 509 to 809 of the family's 1533-position model. The record is from RNAcentral.